AGCAGCCGCGGUAAUUCCAGCUCCAAUAGCGUAUAUUAAAGUUGUUGCAGUUAAAAAGCUCGUAGUUGAAUUUCGGGAUCAGUAGGUCGGUCGUGCCACUGGUAUGAACUGGUCUCACUGGUUCCUCCCUCUUGACGAACUGCAAUGCUAUUAAUUUAGUGUAGUAGGAAAUCAGGACUGUUACUUUGAAAAAAUUAGAGUGUUUAAAGCAGGCUUUGGCUUGAAUACAUUAGCAUGGAAUAAUGAAAUAGGACGUUCGAUCCUACUUUGUUGGCUUCUAGGAUUGACGUAAUGAUUAAUAGGGACAGUUGGGGGCAUUAGUAUUCAAUUGUCAGAGGUGAAAUUCUUGGAUUUAUUGAAGACUAACUACUGCGAAAGCAUUUGCCAAGGAUGUUUUCAUUAAUCAAGAACGAAAGUUAGGGGAUCGAAGACGAUCAGAUACCGUCGUAGUCUUAACCAUAAACUAUGCCGACUAGGGAUCGGAUGGUGUUAAUUCUUUAAUGACUCAUUCGGCGUCC
Molecule: ribosomal RNA, 518 nt
Filed under: uncultured Glomus
Lineage: Eukaryota; Fungi; Glomeromycota; Glomeromycetes; Glomerales; Glomeraceae
Description: SSU rRNA
Rfam family: Eukaryotic small subunit ribosomal RNA
Source: RNAcentral